GUGGGGAAUAUUGGACAAUGGGCGAAAGCCUGAUCCAGCCAUGCCGCGUGUGUGAAGAAGGUCUUCGGAUUGUAAAGCACUUUAAGUUGGGAGGAAGGGCAGUAAGUUAAUACCUUGCUGUUUUGACGUUACCAACAGAAUAAGCACCGGCUAACUUCGUGCCAGCAGCCGCGGUAAUACGAAGGGUGCAAUCGUUAAUCGGAAUUACUGGGCGUAAAGCGCGCGUAGGUGGUUUUGUAAGUUGGAGGUGAAAUCCCCGGGCUCAACCUGGGAACUGCCUCCAAAACUGCAUGACUAGAGUACGGUAGAGGGUAGUGGAAUUUCCUGUGUAGCGGUGAAAUGCGUAGAUAUAGGAAGGAACACCAGUGGCGAAGGCGACUACCUGGACUGAUACUGACACUGAGGUGCGAAAGCGUGGGGAGCAAACAGGAUUAGAUACCCGAGUAGUCC
RNAcentral lists this ribosomal RNA (450 nucleotides) under uncultured bacterium. RNAcentral's name for it is "partial 16S ribosomal RNA". It matches the Rfam family "Bacterial small subunit ribosomal RNA", at positions 354 to 796 of the family's 1533-position model. The record is from RNAcentral.